Molecule: ribosomal RNA, 735 nt
Filed under: uncultured Fusobacterium sp.
Lineage: Bacteria; Fusobacteriati; Fusobacteriota; Fusobacteriia; Fusobacteriales; Fusobacteriaceae
Description: bacterial SSU rRNA
Rfam family: Bacterial small subunit ribosomal RNA
Source: RNAcentral
GAUGAACGCAGACAGAAUGUUUAACACAUGCAAGUCAACUUGAAUUUGGGUUUUUAACUUAGAUUUGGGUGGCGGACGGGUGAGUAACGCGUAAAGAACUUGCCUCACAGCUAGGGACAACAUUUAGAAAUGAAUGCUAAUACCUGAUAUUAUGAUUUUAGGGCAUCCUAGGAUUAUGAAAGCUAUAUGCACUGUGAGAGAGCUUUGCGUCCCAUUAGCUAGUUGGAGAGGUAACGGCUCACCAAGGUGAUGAUGGGUAGCCGGCCUGAGAGGGUGAUCGGCCACAAGGGGACUGAGACACGGCCCUUACUCCUACGGGAGGCAGCAGUGGGGAAUAUUGGACAAUGGACCAAGAGUCUGAUCCAGCAAUUCUGUGUGCACGAUGAAGUUUUUCGGAAUGUAAAGUGCUUUCAGUUGGGAAGAAAAAAAUGACGGUACCAACAGAAGAAGUGACGGCUAAAUACGUGCCAGCAGCCGCGGUAAUACGUAUGUCACAAGCGUUAUCCGGAUUUAUUGGGCGUAAAGCGCGUCUAGGUGGUUAUGUAAGUCUGAUGUGAAAAUGCAGGGCUCAACUCUGUAUUGCGUUGGAAACUGUGUAACUAGAGUACUGGAGAGGUAAGCGGAACUACAAGUGUAGAGGUGAAAUUCGUAGAUAUUUGUAGGAAUGCCGAUGGGGAAGCCAGCUUACUGGACAGAUACUGACGCUGAAGCGCGAAAGCGUGGGUAGCAAACAGG